This 301-nucleotide small RNA is filed under the name Histoplasma capsulatum. RNAcentral's name for it is "hypothetical RNA". Lineage: Eukaryota; Fungi; Ascomycota; Eurotiomycetes; Onygenales; Ajellomycetaceae. RNAcentral also lists the same sequence under 1 other name. The record is from RNAcentral.
ACUUUGGGCUGAACGGAUAAUAAAUAGUUAAUAAGUCUAAUCUAUGUAUCCCGGCCAGUUCGACAAUUCCUGUUUACGCAGCUAUGGACAACCUGAAAACAGCCCGAAAACAACUCUUUAGACAAGCCAAUAUAUCGGAACAUUCCACGCCAGAAAGAUUCCAAAAGCUGUCCUUUCCAUGAUGACAUCGCCUACAAUCUGGCUCUAUUACAUUGAAGCUUUGCUGCAAUAUCUUUCCACUUGGAGAUUUGGGUAUCUCAUCGACAAAGACCACUCCACCGGUUAGACACUUAUGUUUGGA